UGCCGAAACCCGGGAUCGAACCAGAGACCUUUAGAUAUUCAGUCUAACGCUCUCCUAACUGAGCUAUUUCGGC
RNAcentral lists this transfer RNA (73 nucleotides) under Cordylochernes scorpioides. RNAcentral describes it as "tRNA-Phe". The record is from RNAcentral. Lineage: Eukaryota; Metazoa; Arthropoda; Arachnida; Pseudoscorpiones; Chernetidae.